RNAcentral lists this ribosomal RNA (459 nucleotides) under uncultured bacterium. RNAcentral's name for it is "partial 16S ribosomal RNA". It matches the Rfam family "Bacterial small subunit ribosomal RNA", at positions 338 to 795 of the family's 1533-position model. The record is from RNAcentral.
CCUACGGGAGGCAGCAGUGAGGAAUAUUGGUCAAUGGGCGGGAGCCUGAACCAGCCAAGCCGCGUGAGGGAAGAAGGUACAGCGUAUCGUAAACCUCUUUUGUCAGGGAACAAAGGCGGGGACUAGUCCCCGGAUGAGGGUACCUGAAGAAAAAGCAUCGGCUAACUCCGUGCCAGCAGCCGCGGUAAUACGGAGGAUGCGAGCGUUAUCCGGAUUUAGUGGGUUUAAAGGGUGCGCAGGCGGCGUGUUAAGUCAGCGGUAAAAGCCCGGGGCUCAACCCCGUCGAGCCGUUGAAACUGGCGCGCUGGAGUUGGAGAGAAGUACGCGGAAUGCGUGGUGUAGCGGUGAAAUGCUUAGAUAUCGCGCAGAACCCCGAUUGCGAAGGCAGCGUAGCGGCUCCACACUGACGCUGAGGCACGAAAGCGUGGGUAUCGAACAGGAUUAGAUACCCUUGUAGUC